UUAAGAUCUUUCUAGUAUAUAACUGAUAUGGGACUAAACACAUAUUUAUAUGGAUCAUCACAAAAUCCGGGCAUCCCAAUCAAACUAAAAGUUCGAAUUCAAAGAAAUCGAAACACAAAUACAAUGGCCUGCCGAUGGAUCUAAACAAGCUUAUGUUGCCAUGGUUCGGGCCAUAUAUUAUUUGAUUUCUUCAUCCAGUAUAAGUACCA
Molecule: long non-coding RNA, 209 nt
Filed under: Elaeis guineensis (African oil palm)
Lineage: Eukaryota; Viridiplantae; Streptophyta; Magnoliopsida; Arecales; Arecaceae
Description: long non-coding RNA (EGUI_LNC045532)
Source: RNAcentral